AUGAUGGUGCAAUUGGAGAAUUUCUGGUUCUGCUAAUAUUGUGGAUUGGAUAAAUUGAAUAGUAACUUGCUACAAACACCCCCAAAAUACUGGGAUAAGAUGAGGAAACCAAGGAUCAAAGAGUUAAAGUCCUCACUACUCCUAGUGUGGUUUAGGAGGAGCAGCCACACUGCCUGGUCACCUGCAAGGCAUGCACAAUGACGGGCUCUUCCCCACAAACACUGGAUCACCACCAUCAGCCUUCUAACAGGAUCUCCAGAUGCUUCGGCUCCGAAGUGAUCCUUCAGUGUAUUCCAGGAAUAGAUAGUUUGAAGAUUCUUGACAGUUCUGGCACGGUAGCAGGCAAGUUACCAUGUGUUAGUGCUUGUGAUAAUAGCCAUUGUCUGUACCAUCUAAUUAUCUCGUCUGGCAUUCGACAAUCAGUCAUUCUUCCGCGGCUUGAGGAGAAGCAAACUCCAUAUUUUAUGUGCAUCGUGGAGACACUGAUUCCCUAAGUGCAAAACCCAGACACUUUAUGUGAAGUUCUGGCGUGUAGGCAGGCUUUGUAAAACUCCAAACUAUGGAAACUUUUCCCAGUGUAUUUUAUUUUGGAAGUUUGGGGUUUUGAAAAAAUGAAACCAAAAGACAGUCGUUCCUGGGAUUAUUCUGGUGGCUCGAAAUUCUCAUCGACCUAGGCAGUGGCUUGCUUCUUCACUUAUUAAGGGAAGUGAGGGGAGGUGAACAAGUUUUGAAUGCUUGCUAUAUGCUAGGCCCUGUGAGAAGGCCAUCCUUUGCCUUAUUUGUUUCUCAUGACAAUCCUGAGAGAGAGAGAGAGAGAGAGAGUAAGAGCAGGAGCGAGCGAGAGAGGAGAUCUUCUCAUCGUGUACAUCUAGAAAUUAAGACCUAGAUAAAACAGUCUGUUUCAGAUACCACACCUAGUGAAGGGUAGAGCGGACAGCUAAUUCCAUGCCUGCCUAACAAUUCCUAAUGCCCUCUUUUAAGUACCCUUUUAAGGCAUUUUUUGAUUUUACAAGGAAUAAAAGCAUUGGUUCUAUACAGAAGUAGGAAGUAGUAGCCAAAAGGAACCACCAAUAGAUCUUAUUAUGGACCACUGUAAGAAAUGGACCACCUUUUGCAUCAGCAUGGUGGAUCUCAGUGUGUCUGGGUGGCUCAGUCAUUAAGCCUCUG
Long non-coding RNA from Mustela erminea (ermine), 1167 nucleotides. RefSeq lists it as uncharacterized. The record is from RefSeq and is a predicted model, not a curated record. Lineage: Eukaryota; Metazoa; Chordata; Mammalia; Carnivora; Mustelidae. The transcript is spliced from 3 exons.